ACACGCUGGCGGCGUGCCUAACACAUGCAAGUCGUGCGAGAAAGCCCUUCGGGGGUGAGUACAGCGGCGGACGGGUGAGUAACACGUGAGUGAUCUACCCGGCGGCGGGGGACAACCCAGGGAAACCUGGGCUAAUACCGCAUACAGCGGAGGGAGUAGGUGCCCUUCGUGAAAGCUGGCCUCUCCAUGGAAGCUAGCGUCGCCGGAGGAGCUCGCGGCCUAUCAGCUAGUUGGUGGGGUAACGGCCUACCAAGGCUAUGACGGGUAGCUGACGUGAGAGCGUGAGCAGCCACACUGGGACUGAGACACGGCCCAGACUCCUACGGGAGGCAGCAGUGGGGAAUAUUGCGCAAUGGGCGAAAGCCUGACGCAGCGACGCCGCGUGGGGGAGGAAGGCCCUAGGGUUGUAAACCCCUGUCAGGUGGGACGAACCCCGGGUCGGUUAAUAAUCGGCUCGACUGACGGUACCACCAGAGGAAGCUCCGGCUAACUCCGUG
Molecule: ribosomal RNA, 497 nt
Filed under: uncultured bacterium
Lineage: Bacteria
Description: bacterial SSU rRNA
Rfam family: Bacterial small subunit ribosomal RNA
Source: RNAcentral